Molecule: long non-coding RNA, 332 nt
Filed under: Elaeis guineensis (African oil palm)
Lineage: Eukaryota; Viridiplantae; Streptophyta; Magnoliopsida; Arecales; Arecaceae
Description: long non-coding RNA (EGUI_LNC055441)
Source: RNAcentral
CGAACGGAUUUCUUUCUUUCCGGUAGCUUCAUUUUGGGAGCCAUUAGGUUAAGAGAGACUUGAAAGAAACUUGGGAGACUAAAUGUGAGGUAGAGAGGAAAGGAUUUUAGAAGGAAAAAAGCAAAGAUUUGGGGAGUUAAAUCAUCGAUUUGGAGAAAAGGGGAUGAUUCUAGGGCAAGCUCGAACCACCCCAAAUGAGGAAGAAAGAGAAGAAGAAGUUAGUUCCUAAACGGACGAUUUGAAGGGUGAAAAUUGGUGGGAUGAGAGAUUCGAGAGAAAACUUCGGUUUGAGGAAGAAGAGAGGGAGAGCUUUUAGUUCGGUGGGAGGAAGA